AAUAGGGUGCCUCACAAGGUUCUUCGUUAUAUUCCCAUUAUUCCACGUAUGGGUAUAUGCAUGAAGUUGUGGUACCAAAAAGGUGCCAUACUUUAAAAAAAAUAGAAAAUGCUCAUAAGGUGCACGCCUUAUAAGGCACGUGCCUUAUGAGCAUUUAAAACUUAAAAAAAAACCAUGUCCGCAUUUUGGAUGCAUUCUGCAUUCCCAAACCUGCAUUUUGGCAAUUUGGGGUGCCAUUUUCUUGCACUUACCCUUUGUUAAAGCUUGAUAUUGGGCACUAAGUUGUGCAUCUCUCAUCAAAAUGCCGCCACACCAUCGAAGAGCUCGAAGAGGUAUGUAUUUUUGUUUUCUUAUUGUCAUUUUUUAAUUAAUUUGAAGAUUAAACUAGGUUUAUUGAUUUAAAUUUAUUUUCAUUAUCAGUAAAUGAGAUUAGACAAGAAAAUGUUGAAAACACUCAAUCACCUCCUCAUGAAGACCAUAUUGAAGAAGAAGCACAUCAAGAACCUCCUACAAUCCCUGGACAUCCCAUAGGUACAUAAGAAAACCUAUUAGGUCAAAUAGAAAAUAGCCAAAAAGAGAUUGAAGGUUUAAUCACAAGGCUAAAAGAUCCCACUGGAACAAACUCCCAUAGGACAAACCUUGCCAGUUCUUUGCAAUCUAUUGUAUCUCACAUACAAUCUGUGAGUGGGCAAAUAAAUUUUUGGUCCAGUAAGAAGGAAGAACAAAAGCAAUUUUAUGCUGACAAAUUAUCAUAUGUGGCAGUGAAGAAAAAGAAAAUUAAUAAAUUUGACUUGUGUGCUCUUUUUACGGACCCCCAAAUGAAUCAACCUUUACACCCUGGAUGUAGGAGAUUCCCUAUUCAUUGGUGUCAUCAUGAAGGGAUUAAAAACAAUUUUUGGGUUAGGUGGUGGAUGGUAUUUGAUCAGCCCCCAUGCAAUAAUCAUGAGGUACCCCAAUACUUUUUGAGAAAACUGUACUGUGAGUUUGUCCUUAAUGAGAUCCCAAACUAUUUUGAUUUUCUAGAUUUCCAAGGUAGAGGUGGGGGUUCCUCACAUGAUAGAGAGAGUGCACAGUGUGACCCAAAUCUCCCACCAAGACCCUUGGCCGGACCUAUGGUGGAGCAUGUUUUAUUCCUUCCAUUGUGAAGAAGAGUAUUGAGGUCAAAAAUCUAGACUCCAUUAGCUCACUCACUCAGACCCUUAUAUAGUAUGCUAGGCCUCUAGUAGAGGGUGAUGCGAGUGAUGAUGGUGAUUCUUCUAGGCAUCGAGUUCCAUCUCAUUUUUGUCGAUCUUGUGGUUCUCUUUGCACUUAUGAUCCUAAUAGUUCUAAGAAUGCACGUGCAUGAGCGGAGUUUGCUACAGAGAAUAUUGUCAUGACAGAAUCCUUGCUGAAUGAAACAUUUGGCAUUGAUACCUAGGUGAAUUUCAUUACAAGUUCAUUUCAUUCUUUUUAUUAAAUCUUAUAUGUAAAUUUGAGAAUAUAUCUAAAUUAGUAAAUUAUUAUGAUAAAAAAUCAGGGUCAAAGUGUUCACAAUACUAGCAACAUUCCUGCAACACCCUUUUUCAUGACUUCGUUGACUCCACAGGUAUACAACGAGUGAAGAAAUAUAAUUAUUAUAUGUAGAUAGUUGAACCUUAUGUGAAUUAUUUUCUAAUUACUCAUUUUGGAUGUCAAAUAGUUUGAUGCUAGAGCUUCAACAUCAACACUUCAUAGUGUAUUUCAUCGACAAUCUUUCACCUAGAUGUUGACAUUAGAGACUCCUCCUGCUGUGUACGCAUCAAUGGAGCACGGUGUUGCUGCAGCAGUAGCAAGUUCAACUGCUUUAACAGAAGAGGGGCUUGUCACUCCAAAUCAUGAAUGUGCACCUGUUGUGGAUGAAAAUCAUGAUUAUUUGUAUGCGUGGAGUUACAAAAAAGUCUGGAGAGGAGGUUGAGUGGUCGUACUCGAAAGACACUUGCAUCAUAUACAUCUCCAUUCCCUUGAUAGGCAAAUAUAUCUCGUGAUCUGUUUCCUUCCCCUAGAGGGAAAUGAAUAGAAUAGGGUCCUAUGUUGUAUGCCUAUAUGGGAAUUUUGAACAUAUGUUUUGUAUUACAAAUAUGUGACAUUUUAUGUCCAUAUGGCUUUUGGCAAGCUCCUAUUUGACUUUAUUGGAUACCAUGUUGUAUGCCUAUAUGGCAAUUUUGAACAUAUAUUUUGUAUUACAAAUAUGUGACAUUCUAUGUCCAUAUGGCUUUUGGCAAGCCCCUAUUUGACUUUAUUAGAUAUCAUGUUGUAUGCCUUUA
Cryptomeria japonica (Japanese cedar) is the source of this 2282-nucleotide long non-coding RNA. RefSeq lists it as uncharacterized. NCBI's taxonomy places the organism in Eukaryota, Viridiplantae, Streptophyta, Pinopsida, Cupressales, Cupressaceae. The record is from RefSeq and is a predicted model, not a curated record. The transcript has 4 exons.